AACUUUCAGCAACGGAUCUCUUGGCUCUCGCAUUGAUGAAGAACGCAGCGAAUUGCGAUAAGUAAUGUGAAUUGCAGAUUUUCAGUGAAUCAUAGAAUCUUAGAACGCACCUUGCGCUCCUUGGUAUUCCGAGGAGCAUGCCUGUUUGAGUGUC
RNAcentral lists this ribosomal RNA (154 nucleotides) under uncultured Xerocomus. RNAcentral's name for it is "5.8S ribosomal RNA". It matches the Rfam family "5.8S ribosomal RNA". Rfam says of the family: 5.8S ribosomal RNA (5.8S rRNA) is a component of the large subunit of the eukaryotic ribosome. It is transcribed by RNA polymerase I as part of the 45S precursor that also contains 18S and 28S rRNA. Functionally, it is thought that 5.8S rRNA may be involved in ribosome translocation. The record is from RNAcentral. Lineage: Eukaryota; Fungi; Basidiomycota; Agaricomycetes; Boletales; Boletaceae.